Molecule: ribosomal RNA, 433 nt
Filed under: uncultured bacterium
Lineage: Bacteria
Description: partial 16S ribosomal RNA
Rfam family: Bacterial small subunit ribosomal RNA
Source: RNAcentral
AACGAACGCUGGCGGCAUGCCUAACACAUGCAAGUCGAACGAGACCUUCGGGUCUAGUGGCGCACGGGUGCGUAACGCGUGGGAACCUGCCCUUAGGUUCGGAAUAACUCCCCGAAAGGGGUGCUAAUACCGGAUAAUGUCUUCGGACCAAAGAUUUAUCGCCUUUGGAUGGGCCCGCGUUGGAUUAGCUAGUUGGUAGGGUAAAAGCCUACCAAGGCGACGAUCCAUAGCUGGUCUGAGAGGAUGAUCAGCCACACUGGGACUGAGACACGGCCCAGACUCCUACGGGAGGCAGCAAUGGGGAAUAUUGGAAAAUGGGCGAAAGCCUGAUCCAGCAAUGCCGCGUGAGUGAUGAAGGCCUUAGGGUUGUAAAGCUCUUUUACCCGGGAUGAUAAUGACAGUACCGGGAGAAUAAGCUCCGGCUAACUCCGUG